UCGCAUAGUUCCGAUAGUCUU
Non-coding RNA from Caenorhabditis elegans, 21 nucleotides. NCBI's taxonomy places the organism in Eukaryota, Metazoa, Nematoda, Chromadorea, Rhabditida, Rhabditidae. The record is from Ensembl.